This is a long non-coding RNA of Gallus gallus (chicken), 394 nucleotides long. RefSeq lists it as uncharacterized. The record is from RefSeq and is a predicted model, not a curated record. The transcript is spliced from 4 exons. Lineage: Eukaryota; Metazoa; Chordata; Aves; Galliformes; Phasianidae.
GCCGGACGUGACGUCAGGGCGCUGAGAGGCGAAGGUACAUAUGACAUCCUUAAAGAUAAAGAGAAGCACACAGUCCAUUAUUCUUGAUUCCUAAAGGUUCCUUGGUCUGUCCCUUUCUUGGAUCAUCUACUGAGGAUCAACAGCGCCUACAAACACCACUUUCCAGCCUGGUCUAUCAAAGCCCAACAUGUGAAGUUGUAUCAGCUCAGGUAGCUGCUGUUAGCAGUGGGAUACUGGUGAUGGUGAUAAUGUUCAGGCUGACUGUGCCAGAAAAGCAUUUUGGGAUGAGAUGAAGCGUUGUGCUCAACCAAGAGAUGGUCACUGCAGUGAUGGGAAAGAGGAGAGAGAAGAACACACACAUUCAGAUUAAAUCUGCAGUUAUUUCCUCUCACAC